This 72-nucleotide transfer RNA is filed under the name Bos taurus (domestic cattle). It matches the Rfam family "tRNA". From Rfam's summary of the family: Transfer RNA (tRNA) molecules are approximately 80 nucleotides in length. Lineage: Eukaryota; Metazoa; Chordata; Mammalia; Artiodactyla; Bovidae. The record is from Rfam by way of RNAcentral. RNAcentral also lists the same sequence under 4 other names.
UCCCUGGCGGCUCAGAUGGUAAAGAAUCUGCCUGCAAUGCAGGAGACCCAGGUUCAAUCUCUGGUCAGGAAG